GAUGAAGAACGUAGCGAAACGCGCUAUGUAAUGUGAAUUGCAGAAUUCAGUGAAUCAUCGAAUCUUUGAACGCACAUGGCGCCUUCCAGUAUCCUGGGAGGCAUGCCUGUCCGAGCGUCGUUUCAACCCUCGAGCCCCCGUGGCCCGGCGUUGGGGAUCUGCCACGGCAGGCCCCUAAAACCAGUGGCGGACCCGAAGGCCCUCUCCUUUGCGCAGUAGCAUCAGCCUCGCAUUGGGAUCCCUCGGCGUCCUGCCUCUAAACCCCCCACAAGUCCGCUCCGGCGGCACCAAGGUUGACCUCGGAUCAGGUAGGAAUACCCGCUGAACUUAAGCAUAUCAAUAAGCGGAGGA
This 351-nucleotide unclassified non-coding RNA is filed under the name soil metagenome. RNAcentral's name for it is "partial contains 5.8S ribosomal RNA, internal transcribed spacer 2, and large subunit ribosomal RNA". The stretch from base 1 to 120 matches the Rfam family "5.8S ribosomal RNA", at positions 35 to 154 of the family's 154-position model. The record is from RNAcentral.